GAUGAACGCUGGCGGUAUGCUUAACACAUGCAAGUCGAACGGACUCUUCGGAGUUAGUGGCGGACGGGUGAGUAACGCGUGAGAAUCUGGCUUUGGGUUCGGGACAACCACUGGAAACGGUGGCUAAUACCGGAUGUGCCGAGAGGUAAAAGAGAAAUUGCCUGAAGAUGAGCUCGCGUCUGAUUAGCUAGUUGGUGAGGUAAAGGCUCACCAAGGCAGCGAUCAGUAGCUGGUCUGAGAGGAUGACCAGCCACACUGGGACUGAGACACAGCCCAGACUCCUGCGGGAGGCAGCAGUGGGGAAUUGUCCGCAAGGGGCGAAAGCCUGACGGAGCAAUACCGCGUGAGGGAAGAAGGCUCUGGGGUUGUAAACCUCUUUUCUUAGGGAAGAACAAAAUGACGGUACCUAAGGAAUCAGCAUCGGCUAACUCCGUG
RNAcentral lists this ribosomal RNA (435 nucleotides) under uncultured bacterium. RNAcentral's name for it is "partial 16S ribosomal RNA". It matches the Rfam family "Bacterial small subunit ribosomal RNA", at positions 28 to 507 of the family's 1533-position model. The record is from RNAcentral.